AGAGCAAGGGGGAGGUUUUCAAAUCUCACCAGGUCUAACAAGCAGGGGUUGAGAAUCACUGUUCCAAGCCUUUUGGGAGCUCUUCCUAUAAAAAUGCCUUCAAAGUCUAUGACACUUCCCAUGAAUCCUGUCAACAAGAUUCUUAUUUUAAAGACAGACUGGAUUUUAAAAAAAGAAACAGCUUUAGGUUGUUUAGAACUGAAUCUGUGGAAUAGGAGUGAAAUACUGGUCCUUGUCCUCAAGAGGAGGAGAAACCUCAGAAAUACACCUGGGAUCCUCGUGUGAGCCCAGGUGGUUUCAAAGGUAAUCAUUCACUGAGCACAAGCCGGAGCUCUGCUGAGGCCAAAGCUCUCAAGCAGAUCAGAGCUGGUUCUCCAGGCGAAUGGCAGCCAGGACCCAGGUCCUGAAUUCUCCUGCCACUGGGACUGCCUCACAUUGGCAUCUAUUUGAGGGGCUUUGCUAAAUGCCCUGGCCCGCUUCUGCCACAUGGAGUUGUGCCCUCAAAAUAUUCCUGGUUUCCGAGGCAAAGGUGCUCUCUAUUGUUCCUGUUUUGUGUCCAGCAUCUCCAGGCUGCACUGAAGCUCAAGCUGUGGCCUGGGGUUGAGGGUACCAGAUCCCAGGAAGGCUGAGAGUCCCUUAACAUCCCCAGGAAUGGGACAGAGUAACAUCAUAUACCUCCUGAUAUGCUACUCUGAGAUGAACCCAGCAUCACCUUUGGGGUACCCCAGCCAAGACUGUACAGCAUAAAUCAUCAUAAGGAAACAUCAGACAAACCUGAAAUGAGUUGCUGAACUCGUUGCCUAGGAUCCACAAUUGAAAAGAAAAGCAUCUGUUCCCAAAGGAGACUGAAACAUAAACAGAAAAACCCAGCACCAUGUGCAGGCUGCAGGAACGGAAUGAGUGAUGGAGUACAGCAGGAAACCAGACGGACUUGUUUGCUACCCUUAUGGACCUUCAAGGGGAAGACAGACAUUAAAUAAAUACACGCCUGAAGAGUGUUUUAAAAGGAGGAAUAUGGGGGCAGACAAGGGCAUCGCACACCUGGAGGGAACCAGGAUGUGGAGCAG
This is a long non-coding RNA of Bos taurus (domestic cattle), 1067 nucleotides long. NCBI's taxonomy places the organism in Eukaryota, Metazoa, Chordata, Mammalia, Artiodactyla, Bovidae. The record is from Ensembl.